CUGAAUAUGAGGAUGAUGUUUAAUGACAUUCUCUUUAAAUCAGGAUGACGACAUAUGUUCGCCUAUGCAAAAUACAAAAACCAUAUGUCACAGUCUAGCACUCUGCCUAUUUGCUUUAUCUGGCAAAGUUGUCUAUGCCCCGCCGCGGUUUCUUUCAAUCGCUUUGUCCGGACUCUGAAACACGAGGCCCAUAAGGGGAGCUUUGCAAGUGCCAUGACUGAAUAGCUCUGCUCACAUCUAGCACACCCUAUACGAGCGGGUCACGCGUGGUUGCGGGCAUCUCAUAACAAAGGAGUCUACAUUCUUUCUGUUGCCGUUUCAGGAAAUUCGAGGAGAACCCGUACCACAUGCCAAAAGAACUGGAAGGAUCCGUAACGGGUUUUGACAGCAACGAGUCGGGACUUGACCUGAGAAGAUGGAAUGCGGACAGGAAGAAGGAGUUCGUGAUCGAGUCCAUUGCCGAUGAGCUCAAGAGGGUAAAGGAGGCGCGUGCCAAGGGGCAGCAGCUUCACGUGCUUGCUGGAGACGGACACUGAUAGUUGCAUGAUGCACAGCAAGCCCGAAGACGCCUCCACUUCGCUCCGGACGAGGCAUUAUGCUGCAAUUAUUAUUUUAGUUUUGUUUUUGUAUUUGGAAUCUUGUACGUUAUUUACAUUGUCCAUUUCACCUUAUUUUGUUCACGCAAUUGUGAAAGCACUUUGUCCAAUUCACACCUAGUCAAUACGUCAGGCCUAACGCCACUGCCUUUCUCUCCUUUGGGCCUUCAUUUGUGCUCUAAAUGUACUAUAAAGAACCACAGCAACUCUUACGGGAGAAAUAAGAAAGCUGUCAGCAGAAA
Long non-coding RNA from Dermacentor andersoni, 838 nucleotides. RefSeq lists it as uncharacterized. NCBI's taxonomy places the organism in Eukaryota, Metazoa, Arthropoda, Arachnida, Ixodida, Ixodidae. The record is from RefSeq and is a predicted model, not a curated record.